RNAcentral lists this long non-coding RNA (569 nucleotides) under Homo sapiens (human). RNAcentral describes it as "non-protein coding lnc-MAPKAPK5-1:2". Lineage: Eukaryota; Metazoa; Chordata; Mammalia; Primates; Hominidae. The record is from RNAcentral.
ACUUGAGCCCAGGAGGUCAAGGCUGCAGUGAGCUGUGAUUGCACCACUUCACUCCAGCCCAGAGUGAGACCCCAUCUCUGAAAAAAACACAAAAAACAAGAAAAGAAUACUGCAAAGAACCUUGGUAGGGGUGAAUUGGAAAAAGUAGAGAAAUGUAAUAUUUCUUUCCUGCUGUACUCACUGUAACUGUGAGAGGAUCGGCUCUUUUAACCAACAGAUAAGAAAGGAAAUAUUAGCUAUGAAGAAAUGUCUAUCAAGUUGAUUUUGACAACCUAGACACAUUAAUCUCCUUGCACUUUUAGUGACAGGAACCCAUUAGAACCUUAAGCAGCUGUCUGAAGUAAAAACAAAGCUCUCAGGUGUAAAGCCGCUGCUUCUGGGUAGAGCCUCCACUUGUGGCUGCACAGAGGGCACAGAGAGCUUUUCCUUCAGCCCGGAGAAGCUUCCUAAGUGUGGGCGCCACCUUGUGGGACAUACAUUGAACUACGACGCUAUUUCUCCAAGAAUUAACAGGACAGCCCCUCCCACCGGUGUCCUUCCAACGAUGUUGCAUACAAUUUGGCUGUACA